AUUGGGCUUUCACGAGCUCUGGUAGGCUGAGAUGCGCCGGGCCUUGCACACCUCGUGUGCCACAAACCGCUGAGCCUCUCCAGCUUCCAGAGACUGGGCUGAAGGGAAUACCAACCGCAAAGGUUGUUAGAAGGGUUCAGGACUGAUCGUGACAAAACCUGGUAAAGCAGCUUGCGCUGCGUCCAGCGCUGAUGCAGGCUUUCACUGGACGUCGUUUA
RNAcentral lists this long non-coding RNA (218 nucleotides) under Bos taurus (domestic cattle). RNAcentral describes it as "long non-coding RNA NONBTAT005830". Lineage: Eukaryota; Metazoa; Chordata; Mammalia; Artiodactyla; Bovidae. The record is from RNAcentral.